This 552-nucleotide ribosomal RNA is filed under the name uncultured bacterium. RNAcentral describes it as "bacterial SSU rRNA". It matches the Rfam family "Bacterial small subunit ribosomal RNA", at positions 481 to 1034 of the family's 1533-position model. The record is from RNAcentral.
GCAGAAGAAGCACCGGCUAACUACGUGCCAGCAGCCGCGGUAAUACGUAGGGUGCGAGCGUUGUCCGGAAUUAUUGGGCGUAAAGAGCUCGUAGGCGGUCCGUCGCGUCGAUUGUGAAAACCCGGGGCUCAACUCCGGGCUUGCACUCGAUACGGGCGGACUAGAGUUCGGUAGGGGAGACUGGAAUUCCUGGUGUAGCGGUGAAAUGCGCAGAUACCAGGAGGAACACCGGUGGCGAAGGCGGGUCUCUGGGCCGAUACUGACGCUGAGGCUCGAAAGCAUGGGUAGCAAACAGGAUUAGAUACCCUGGUAGUCCAUGCCGUAAACGAUGAUUACUAGGUGUGGGGAGAUUGACCCUCUCCGUGCCGCAGUUAACACAAUAAGUAAUCCACCUGGGGAGUACGCACGCAAGUGUGAAACUCAAAGGAAUUGACGGGGGCCCGCACAAGCGGUGGAGUAUGUGGUUUAAUUCGAUGCAACGCGAAGAACCUUACCAGGACUUGACAUGUCGCGAAUCCAGUGGAAACACAGGGGUGCCUUCGGGAGCGACCG